CCUACGGGGGGCAGCCGUGAGGAAUAUUGGUCAAUGGGCUGAAGCCUGAACCAGCCAAGUAGCGUGCAGGAUGACGGCCCUACGGGUUGUAAACAGAAAUUAUACGGGAAUAACGCGCCUUACGUGUAGGGCUUUGCAUGUACCGUAUGAAUAAGGACCGGCUAAUUCCGUGCCAGCAGCCGCGGUAAUACGGAAGGUCCGGGCGUUAUCCGGAUUUAUUGGGUUUAAAGGGAGCGUAGGCCGCAUGUCAAGCGUGCUGUGAAAUGUUCGGGCUCAACCCGGGCCUUGCAGCGCGAACUGGCGUGCUUGAGUGCGCGGUGAGCAGGCGGAAUUCGUCGGGUAGCGGUGAAAUGCUUAGAUAUGACGAAGAACCCCGAUUGCGAAGGCAGCUUGCUGCAGCGGAACUGACGCUGAUGCUCGAAAGCGCGGGUAUCGAACAGGAUUAGAUACCCUUGUAGUC
This 460-nucleotide ribosomal RNA is filed under the name uncultured bacterium. RNAcentral's name for it is "partial 16S ribosomal RNA". It matches the Rfam family "Bacterial small subunit ribosomal RNA", at positions 338 to 795 of the family's 1533-position model. The record is from RNAcentral.